UAGGUCUUUAUGGCCCAACCUCCCACCCGUGACUAUUGUACCUUGUUGCUUCGGCGGGCCCGCCAGCGUUGCUGGCCGCCGGGGGGCGACUCGCCCCCGGGCCCGUGCCCGCCGGAGACCCCAACAUGAACCCUGUUCUGAAAGCUUGCAGUCUGAGUGUGAUUCUUUGCAAUCAGUUAAAACUUUCAACAAUGGAUCUCUUGGUUCCGGCAUCGAUGAAGAACGCAGCGAAAUGCGAUAACUAAUGUGAAUUGCAGAAUUCAGUGAAUCAUCGAGUCUUUGAACGCACACUGCGCCCCCUGGUAUUCCGGGGGGCAUGCCUGGCCGAGCGUCAUUGCUGCCCUCAAGCCCGGCUUGUGUGUUGGGCCCUCGUCCCCCGGCUCCCGGGGGACGGGCCCGAAAGGCAGCGGCGGCACCGCGUCCGGUCCUCGAGCGUAUGGGGCUUCGUCUUCCGCUCCGUAGGCUCGGCCGGCGCCCGCCGAC
Molecule: small RNA, 483 nt
Filed under: Aspergillus terreus
Lineage: Eukaryota; Fungi; Ascomycota; Eurotiomycetes; Eurotiales; Aspergillaceae
Description: eukaryotic LSU rRNA
Rfam family: 5.8S ribosomal RNA (bases 181-334)
Source: RNAcentral